Molecule: ribosomal RNA, 842 nt
Filed under: Arthrobacter sp.
Lineage: Bacteria; Bacillati; Actinomycetota; Actinomycetes; Micrococcales; Micrococcaceae
Description: bacterial SSU rRNA
Rfam family: Bacterial small subunit ribosomal RNA
Source: RNAcentral
UGAGACGCUGCGGCGUGCUUAACACAUGCAAAGUCGAACGAUGAUCUCCAGCUUGCUGGGGGGAUUAGUGGCGAACGGGUGAGUAACACGUGAGUAACCUGCCCUUGACUCUGGGAUAAGCCUGGGAAACUGGGUCUAAUACCGGAUAUGACCAUUCCGCGCAUGCGGUGGUGGUGGAAAGCUUUUGCGGUUUUGGAUGGACUCGCGGCCUAUCAGCUUGUUGGUGGGGUAAUGGCCUACCAAGGCGACGACGGGUAGCCGGCCUGAGAGGGUGACCGGCCACACUGGGACUGAGACACGGCCCAGACUCCUACGGGAGGCAGCAGUGGGGAAUAUUGCACAAUGGGCGCAAGCCUGAUGCAGCGACGCCGCGUGAGGGAUGACGGCCUUCGGGUUGUAAACCUCUUUCAGUAGGGAAGAAGCCGCAAGGUGACGGUACCUGCAGAAGAAGCGCCGGCUAACUACGUGCCAGCAGCCGCGGUAAUACGUAGGGCGCAAGCGUUAUCCGGAAUUAUUGGGCGUAAAGAGCUCGUAGGCGGUUUGUCGCGUCUGCUGUGAAAGACCGGGGCUCAACUCCGGUUCUGCAGUGGGUACGGGCAGACUAGAGUGAUGUAGGGGAGACUGGAAUUCCUGGUGUAGCGGUGAAAUGCGCAGAUAUCAGGAGGAACACCGAUGGCGAAGGCAGGUCUCUGGGCAUUAACUGACGCUGAGGAGCGAAAGCAUGGGGAGCGAACAGGAUUAGAUACCCUGGUAGUCCAUGCCGUAAACGUUGGGCACUAGGUGUGGGGGACAUUCCACGUUUUCCGCGCCGUAGCUAACGCAUUAAGUGCCCCGCCUGGAGA